UCACGUGGCAAUGCCCAACCACAGUGGAGCCAGAAGAUACACUCCUCCCAAAGGGGGCACAAUGAACCCACAGCAACAGGAAGAGAUGUACAGUCCUCUUAUAGGCAAGCUGCAAAUAACUGGGAACAAUAAGAUCAUCUACCACAAGAAAUCUUUAAUAAUUUCCAAAAAAUUCUUUUCAUUUGAGUCUGUUUAAUUAAUGUGAGAUCAAUUACAGUUUAUCUUACAAUAACCAUAUUUUAGAUUUUAUCUUCCUUCAAGAUUCUAAUGUUGUCCCAAACCUCAGCUUACAUCUGAUGGUAGGCUGUUCUCAAGAUGGACAGCUGCAUAUAUUUUAUUCUAGUUUCUAUUUCCAAAAGAUACAUUUUCUCAUGUUGUCCCCAAAUUCUUGGACCUAAGGCCCCUCAACUCUAACUGACAUUAGUUUAGGAAAGAGAAGGUGAGGAGAAAGGGACUAAAGGUCAGUGUCCUACUCUCUGCCUGGUUGCUGAGUGAGUGAAUGAGCAAAUUAAUGGGCUAUGGCAACUACUGACUGUGUCCCUGGAGGGCCCGAUGAUCAGAAGUGUCAGGCUUUGACUUCAGCAGGAAGAAAUGGUGGUCAGUGUUUGAACAAACUUCCUGGUUUGAAGGAGUUUGGGGGCUGUGGCAGACAGACUCUUAAGGAGGCCUACAUGAUUUUGCCUCCUGGUGUUCACAUCCUUGUGUGAUCCCCACCCCUUGAAUGUGGGUCCUGUGACUUGCUUCUAACCAGUAGAACCUGACAAAUGUGACAGUGAUUGUGUGUACGUGAUGACAUGAUUAUAUCACACGAGAUUGUAACACUUGCCUUGCUGGCAUCUCUCACUCUCUUGCUGGCUUUGAAGAAGCAAGCUGCCAUGUUGUGGCUGCCUUUGUUGGAAGGUGAUGUGGCAAGGAACUGAGGACGGCCUCUAGGAGCUGAGGAUGGACUCCAGCUGACAGCCAGCAAGACACAGAAGCCUUCCAUCCUAAAGCUGUAAGGAACGGAAUCCUGCUAACAAAAGUGAUCCUUCCCCAGACGAGCCUCAGAUGAGGUGGAGCCCCGACCGACACCUUGAUUGCAGCCUUGUGAGACCCUACGCAGAGGACCCAGUCUGUGCCCAGACUCCUGACCCACAGAAACUGAGAUCAAGACAUUGGCUUGCUCACGAAGUGGACUCACUUGGUAGAAUCCAGGUGAGGUCCUCUGCUCAGGGAUUCGCAAGGCUGAAGUCAAGGUGUUGGCCAGUCUGCGUUCUCAUCUGGACGCUCGGGGGAAGAAUGUGCUUCCAACUUCAUUCAGGUGCUGGCAGAAUUCAGCUCCCAGCAGCUGUGUGAUUCAGGUCCCCGUUUUCUUGCUGGCUGUUGGAUGGGACUGCUUUUGGCUCCUAGAGGGUGCUCCCAGCUCCUCACCAUGUGGCCACCUCCACUGGCCGUUCGCAACAUGGCAGUUCACUCUUUAAGGCCAGCAAGAGAAUCUCUUUCCCUGUCAGCUGAAAUGAAGUCUUAUAUAACCUAAUCAUGACAUUAACAAACCCCCACCUUUGUCUUAUUAUGUAACCUCAUCACAGGAAUGGCACUCUAUCAUAUUCACAGGUCCUGUCCACUCUCAAGAGGAAGGAAUUACAUAGGAUGUGUAUACCAGCGGGCAGAACUCUGGGGGGCCAUCUUAGAAUUCUGCCUACCACGGGGCUGUGGGAUUAAAUAAGAUACUGUGUGUAAAACGCUUAGCUCAGUGCCUGGCCCAGAGAAAGACGCAAUAAGUGGUAGUCAUAGUCACCACCAUCAAUACGCAUAGUAGACAAAAUAAUGGCCCCCCAAAGAUGUCCUUGGAAUCUGUCAAUAUGUUAUGCUACGUGGCAAAGAAAAUGAAGGCUGCAGACGGAAUCAAGCUGGCUAAUCAGCUGACCUUAAAAUCGGGAAAUCAUCCUGGAUUUGCUCCUUAUGGAACCACAAGGGUCCUUCAAAGUGGAAGAGUGAGGCAGAAGAAGAGUCAGAACCAGAGAGAUGGCAGCAUGAAAAGACUUGGCCCAACGUUGCUGGCUUUCAAAAUGGAAGAAGAGGACCACGAGCCAAGGAAUGUGGGCGGCAAGGAAUGUGGCCAAGCUGGAAGGGGAGAGGAAUAGAUUUUCCCCUGGAGCCUCCAGGAAAGAAUGCAAGCCUGCUGUCACCUUGACUGUAGCCCGGCGAGACCUGUUUCAGACUUUGGACGUCCAGAACUGUAAGAUAAUAAAUGUGUGUUGUUUUAAGCCACUGCAUUUGUAGUAAUUUGUUCCAGCAUCCAUAGGAAACUAAUACAAUGUUAUGUGUUUUAUCAGGGCUACAGAAAAAGAUUAAAAUGACAGAGUUCAGGGUGCAUAUUGAUUCAUUGGCCAUUUAUAAAAGCCGGUUGAGAAACUGUGAAGUGGAGAAUCUGAAAUGGAGUAGGUGACAGUCUUCCUAUGGCCACUUUGCUCGGUCUGGGUGUAUGUGGUGUGAGGCCUAUGGAGGACGAAGACAGAGCAGAGCACUUCCAAAGGAGACUGACAUGAACGGAGGAGAAACUAGAGCUGAAAAGACAGUGGUGAUGUGCGGAUUGGAUGGGGUUGUUGGGAAAUAGUUGAUGAACUGUCUUUGGAAGAGAACUUAGAAAAGUUGUGCACAGUCCCGAGGGGAGAUGUACUGGGCGGAAGCUACCGGAACUCAGCGCUCAGCUCAGUAUGAGUAAUUGCUUUCUGGAAGUGAUGAUUGUAUCAGUUAGGAACAACAGAUCAGAACUAACAGUGGCUUAAGCAAGAGAGAAGUGUCUUUUCUGUCAUGGUAAAUGCCUUCUGGAGGUGAGAAGUCCAGGACUGGUUUGAAGGUACCAUGAUGUUAGGGAUCCAGGCUCCUUGAUGCGCCUUCUCCCCUAGGUUGAUGCCCUCACCCACACGGUCCAAGGCUGAGAAACAUCACAUCCAUAUUCCCAGAAGCAGGAAGGCGGAAGGGCACGGCCUUUAAGUUCACAUCCCAGAAGUUGCGUCCAUCACUUUUGCUCUCAUCUCAAUGACAAGAACAUGGGCAUAUGGCCUCCUGGCUGCAUAGGAAACUCAUUGUGGGUGGCCACGCAACUUGGCAAAAAGUUGGAGGUUUCUAUCACCAUGGAAAAGGAGGGAAAAAUUGAUUUGGGGGUUGGGGGGGGCAAGACCAACAAGCUCUGCAUAGUGAUGGCUGGGUUAUUUUGGAGGUAGGAUUUUGCUCUCUGUGCUGGACCCUCCCUGUUUUGACACUCCAAUAGCACCCUGAUUCCCCUUUUCAGAAAGAACCUCUCUCCCGUGGAAGUCUGAAGGGACUGUCAGUGGAGGUGCUGCUCUCCCAUAGCCAAGAGCUCCAGCAUUCAUUCUAACUCCAGCCUCAGGGAGAGACUGAUUCCUCUUACUCCUCGAACUGCCUAGUACCUGCCAUUUUUCAGACCAGUUCUCAAACCUUUCCUUGUCUGUCCAAACAUUUCCCUUCUGCUUUGAUCAAUUAGAGGGGAUUUCUUUUGCUUGCAACCUAUCACUCCUUACAGAUACACUCUCCCCGGAGUCUUGCAGCAGAAGCUUGCAACAUCUUG
This 3571-nucleotide long non-coding RNA is filed under the name Equus caballus (horse). RNAcentral's name for it is "lncRNA (ENSECAG00000046863.1)". The record is from RNAcentral. Lineage: Eukaryota; Metazoa; Chordata; Mammalia; Perissodactyla; Equidae.